This 2498-nucleotide ribosomal RNA is filed under the name Clostridioides difficile. RNAcentral's name for it is "bacterial LSU rRNA". It matches the Rfam family "Bacterial large subunit ribosomal RNA", at positions 14 to 2534 of the family's 2925-position model. Lineage: Bacteria; Bacillati; Bacillota; Clostridia; Peptostreptococcales; Peptostreptococcaceae. The record is from RNAcentral.
AGGGUGCAGGGCGGAUGCCUUGGCACUAGGAGCCGAUGAAGGACGUGAUAAGCUGCGAUAAGCUUCGGGGAGUUGCACGUAAACUUUGAUCCGAAGAUUUCCGAAUGAGGAAACUCACUUAGAGUAAUGUCUAAGUAUCAUUAAGUGAAUACAUAGCUUAAUGAGGGGAACUCAGGGAACUGAAACAUCUAAGUACCUGAAGGAAGAGAAAGAAAUUCGAUUCCGUAAGUAGCGGCGAGCGAACGCGGAUUAGCCCAAACCAAUAAAGUUUUCUUUAUUGGGGUUGCGGACAUAUCAUAACGAAGAGGUAUCGUAAUUGAAGAGGUUUGGAAAGACCCACCACAGAAGGUAAUAGUCCUGUAUGUUAAACGAGAAGACUUCAGAUAUGAUCCAGAGUACCACGGGACACGUGAAACCCUGUGGGAAGCAGGAGGGACCACCCUCCAAGGCUAAAUACUACCUAGUGACCGAUAGCGUAUAGUACCGUGAGGGAAAGGUGAAAAGAACCCCGGGAGGGGAGUGAAAUAGAACCUGAAACCCUGCACUUACAAGCUGUGGAAGCACAUUUCUUGUGUGACCGCGUACUUUUUGUAGAACGGGCCAACGAGUUACGUUAAGUAGCAAGGUUAAGCACUUAAGGUGCGGAGCCGUAGCGAAAGCGAGUUUUAACUGAGCGUUCAGUUACUUGACGUAGACCCGAAACCGGGCGACCUACCCAUGAGCAGGAUGAAGCGAAAGUAAAAUUUCGUGGAGGUCCGAACCCACGAGCGUUGAAAAGCUCGGGGAUGACUUGUGGGUAGCGGUGAAAUUCCAAUCGAGCCCGGAGAUAGCUGGUUCUCCCCGAAAUAGCUUUAGGGCUAGCCUCAAGGUGAGAGAUACGGAGGUAGAGCACUGAAUGUCCUAGGGGGUAUUGCACCUACCGAAGACUAUCAAACUCCGAAUGCCGUCAUCUUAUACUUGGGAGUCAGACUGUGGGUGAUAAGAUUCAUAGUCGAAAGGGCAACAGCCCAGAUCGUCAGCUAAGGUCCCUAAAUGUAAGUUAAGUGGUAAAGGAUGUGGGAUUGCACAGACAACCAGGAUGUUGGCUUAGAAGCAGCCACUCAUUCAAAGAGUGCGUAAUAGCUCACUGGUCGAGUGAUCCUGCGCCGAAGAUUUCCGGGGCUAAAACUUACUACCGAAGCUACGGCAUCAGUAAUGAUGGGUAGGGGAGCUUCCCAUACGGGUUGAAGCAUGACCGUAAGGACAUGUGGACAGUAUGGGAGUGAGAAUGUUGGCAUGAGUAGCGAGAUGUGGGUGAGAAUCCCACAGGCCGUAAACCCAAGGUUUCCAGGGGAAGGUUCGUCCGCCCUGGGUUAGUCGGGACCUAAGCUGAGGCCGAAAGGCGUAGGUGAUGGACAACAGGUUGAUAUUCCUGUACUACCGAUAACCGUUUGAGAGAAGGGAUGACACAGUAGGAUAAGCUAAGCACACUGUUGGUUAUGUGUGCCCAAGCAUUGAGGCAGUCAAAGUAGGCAAAUCCGCUUUGAUAAUGCUGGGAUGUGAUGGGGAGCGAAAUUUAGUAGCGAAGUAGCUGAUUUCACACUGUCAAGAAAAGUCUCUAUCGAGGUUAAAGGUACCCGUACCGCAAACCGACACAGGUGGGUGAGGAGAGUAUCCUAAGGCCAGCGAGAGAACUGUUGUUAAGGAACUCGGCAAAAUGACCCCGUAACUUAGGGAUAAGGGGUGCCACCAUCAGGUGGCCGCAGAGAAUAGGCCCAAGCGACUGUUUACCAAAAACAUAGGUUUCUGCUAAGUCGCAAGACGAUGUAUAGGAGCUGACGCCUGCCCGGUGCUGGAAGGUUAAGGGGAUCUGUUAGAGCAAUCGAAGCAGUGAACUUAAGCCCCAGUAAACGGCGGCCGUAACUAUAACGGUCCUAAGGUAGCGAAAUUCCUUGUCGGGUAAGUUCCGACCCGCACGAAAGGCGUAACGAUUUGGGCACUGUCUCAACAACAGACUCGGUGAAAUUGUAAUUCCGGUGAAGAUGCCGGAUACCUGCGACAGGACGGAAAGACCCCAUGGAGCUUUACUGUAGCUUGACAUUGGGUCUUGGUACUACAUGUACAGGAUAGGUGGGAGGCUUUGAAACCAGGACGCCAGUUUUGGCGGAGCCAUCCUUGGGAUACCACCCUUGUAGUACUGGGACUCUAACCAUAGGCCAUGAAUCUGGUCUUGGGACACUGUCAGGUGGGCAGUUUGACUGGGGCGGUCGCCUCCCAAAAGGUAACGGAGGCGCUCAAAGGUUCUCUCAGUACGGUCGGAAAUCGUACGUAGAGUGUAAAGGCAAAAGAGAGCUUGAUUGCAAGACAUACAGGUCGAGCAAGGAUGAAAAUCGGACUUAGUGAUCCGGUGGUUCUGCGUGGAAGGGCCAUCGCUCAACGGAUAAAAGCUACCCUGGGGAUAACAGGCUUAUCUCCCCCAAGAGUCCACAUCGACGGGGAGGUUUGGCACCUCGAUGUCG